CUUAUUUGCGUAUUUCUUAUUACUUUAGUGGGAAGCAUUAUUUAGACUUUAAAACAAAUCACUGGCUGCAGUUGACAUUUUUUCAGUCAUGAGGGUGACACAACUGGCCAAAGCAAACAUCUUAGAGCCAGGACGAGCUACGCUUUUGGCCUGGCAACACAAGGCUGAUCUGGACGUAGACGCUAUUCAAAAGAUGUGCCAAGGAUUAACUGAAAUUGCAGCCUGAGUGUGAUUUAUAAGCCAUUCUGCGUCAUUUGACUGUGACAGGCUCUGACAAAUUAAUAUGCCUUCAGCCCUCUCCACUACUCUUUAAGAUGCUGGACCUAGUAGCACCGAUCAUGAAAGUGACCGUGGGCCCCAAAGACACAUCCGACAGUCCGUAAAAUGCUGGGAGGUUUUCUGGACACACCUGUUCAACAGCUCUCAGGGACCCAUGCACAGGACCCAGUGCGAAGGCCAAAAACUAUAGGCCUGUGUGAAGUUAUUUGAUGUAACGCCAUCACAGAGCACUUUUUCCAGCCCAUUAAAUCCCUAUAAAUACACUGGAGUCUGUGGAUGUGGAAAGGUUGAACCAG
Poecilia reticulata (guppy) is the source of this 575-nucleotide non-coding RNA. The record is from RefSeq and is a predicted model, not a curated record. Lineage: Eukaryota; Metazoa; Chordata; Actinopteri; Cyprinodontiformes; Poeciliidae.